Centropristis striata (black sea bass) is the source of this 360-nucleotide long non-coding RNA. RefSeq lists it as uncharacterized. The record is from RefSeq and is a predicted model, not a curated record. Lineage: Eukaryota; Metazoa; Chordata; Actinopteri; Perciformes; Serranidae. The transcript is spliced from 3 exons.
UUGCAGUCAAACCAAGGCAGGUGAUGUCAUGCGUCCUCUGCUGGCGGAGCUGGAGCCGGGCUGGUUUCUUUGGCAUCUUGUGGGCCGUCAGCACUACAUGCCUGACCCCUCCAGAGCCAGACCACACAGAGGAACAUGUUUGAUUGGAGAGCCCUCUGCUGGCCCGUUUCAGUAACAACCUUCUCUCCAGUUGUCUCCUGCGCCGCCGUAGGUCCGAGGAGCAGGAAGAGAUCUGAGAAGGCAAAUAAGCAUCUCAUAUCACUGCAGAAGAUGGCUGAACAAGUGACUAAAUUGCUUUGAAAUGAAAAACAGCUUAUGCAAAUAAAGAACGUCAAGUGCUCAUUCCUCUGAAUACAAAAA